AAUUGGGGACUGGUAUGAAAGGUUGAACAAGAAGUCAGCUGUCUCUAAAUUAAAUCUUGAACUUAACAUUUAAGUGAAAAGGCUUAAAUAUUUUAGGGGGACGAUAAGACCCUAUAAAUCUUUAUACUCGGCUUUAUUGAGCAAAAUACUAGAAUAAUUUUUGUUCGAUAGGUUUGAGUAUUUUGUUGGGGCGACAGGAGUAUAAAAUGUAACUGCUUUAAAAUAAUAGUUAAUUGAUGUUUAGUUAAGCGAUCCUUUAAUAAAGAUGUUAGUUUAAGUUACUUUAGGGAUAACAGCGUAAUUUUUUUUGAGAGUUCAUAUCGAAAAAAAAGUUUGCGACCUCGAUGUUGAAUUAAAGAUCCUUUAUGGUGCAGAAGUUAUAAAAGGAGGUCUGUUCGAC
RNAcentral lists this ribosomal RNA (400 nucleotides) under Scyllarus arctus. Its description in RNAcentral is "partial 16S ribosomal RNA". It matches the Rfam family "Bacterial large subunit ribosomal RNA", at positions 1978 to 2585 of the family's 2925-position model. Lineage: Eukaryota; Metazoa; Arthropoda; Malacostraca; Decapoda; Scyllaridae. The record is from RNAcentral.